UAUAUACGUUCCUUGUCAUUGAAAAAUAAAAUAAUAUAUAUAUAUAUCCCCUUUAUUGAAAAGUUUUACCUUCAAAAGAUUUAUUUGGAUUUAUUGAAUCUUUUGACCCAAAACUAUCCUGAGGAAUUUGAUGGAGCUCUUGAUUUUAUUUCAAUGGCUGUCACAUGCUACUUUAGCAAGUGUGAAACCCUGUUAGCUGGUGGUUGCAAUGAUAGAAAAAUAGUCGUCUAUGAUUUCUUUACAAGAGGAACAGUGAAGAUCAUCAGUACUCAUCUACAGCCAGUCUGUUCACAAUGCUGGUCAAGGUGUAGAACACAAAUUUUAAGUGCAUCUACAGAAUAGCACCAUAGCUAUUUGGGAAGUUCACCUUGGAAAAUGUAACCAAAGGUACAGGUUUUCGUCACCAAUUCUAAAAGUUCAGUUUCACCCAAGGAAAGCUGAAACUUUUCUAGUUUGUCCCAUGAGACAUGCAGCUGUACUUGUUGAAUUAGAAGAAAAUCACAAGUUACCCUUAGAUGAAGAAGAUGUCAGUAUAUUUAUACUGGUACUGGGUUCAUCCUGGGACUGAGUGCCACAUCACUAGAAGUUAAUUUUCACCUGUUUUUCGGUUCCGAGGUACGAGCAGCUAAGAAUUCAAGACUAAAGCCAGUUUAGUACUGAUGAUUGUCAAAUAGGAUUUUUAUCUUUUAGAGAAUUUAUACUGUUCAAAGACUUGCCGAGCUGGUUGAGCUAUUUAU
Daphnia carinata is the source of this 737-nucleotide long non-coding RNA. RefSeq lists it as uncharacterized. The transcript has 5 exons. The record is from RefSeq and is a predicted model, not a curated record. NCBI's taxonomy places the organism in Eukaryota, Metazoa, Arthropoda, Branchiopoda, Diplostraca, Daphniidae.